AAAAAGAGUUUUCGUUUCUAACAUUUGACCGUCCGUCUUAUUUAAAAAAUUUAUGAAAAAAAUUAAAAACACAAGUCACGUAUAAAAUAUUAAUCAUAUUUUAUCAUCUAACAACAAUAAAAAUACGAAUUAUAAAAAAAUUUCAUAUAAGACGGACAGUUAAAGUUGGACACGGAAAUCCAGGGUUUGCUUUUUU
Molecule: microRNA precursor, 196 nt
Filed under: Oryza glumipatula
Lineage: Eukaryota; Viridiplantae; Streptophyta; Magnoliopsida; Poales; Poaceae
Description: MIR812 microRNA precursor family
Rfam family: MIR812 microRNA precursor family
Source: Rfam by way of RNAcentral